This 253-nucleotide ribosomal RNA is filed under the name uncultured bacterium. RNAcentral describes it as "partial 16S ribosomal RNA". It matches the Rfam family "Bacterial small subunit ribosomal RNA", at positions 524 to 776 of the family's 1533-position model. The record is from RNAcentral.
UACGUAGGGUGCAAGCGUUAAUCGGAAUUACUGGGCGUAAAGCGUGCGCAGGCGGCUUUGCAAGACAGAUGUGAAAUCCCCGGGCUUAACCUGGGAACUGCAUUUGUGACUGCAUGGCUGGAGUGCGGCAGAGGGGGAUGGAAUUCCGCGUGUAGCAGUGAAAUGCGUAGAUAUGCGGAGGAACACCGAUGGCGAAGGCAGCCCCCUGGGUCAAGAUUGACGCUCAUGCACGAAAGCGUGGGGAGCAAACAGG